RNAcentral lists this ribosomal RNA (439 nucleotides) under uncultured bacterium. RNAcentral's name for it is "partial 16S ribosomal RNA". It matches the Rfam family "Bacterial small subunit ribosomal RNA", at positions 339 to 795 of the family's 1533-position model. The record is from RNAcentral.
CUACGGGUUGCUGCAGUGGGGAAUAUUGCACAAUGGAGGAAACUCUGAUGCAGCAACGCCGCGUGGAGGAUGACACUUUUCGGAGCGCAAACUCCUUUUAUAUAGGAAGAAGAUGACGGUACUAUAUGAAUAAGCGCCGGCUAACUCCGUGCCAGCAGCCGCGGUAAUACGGAGGGCGCAAGCGUUACUCGGAAUCACUGGGCGUAAAGAGCGUGUAGGCGGAUUAAAAAGUCAGAAGUGAAAUCCUAUAGCUUAACUAUAGAACUGCUUCUGAAACUCUUAAUCUGGAAUGUGGGAGAGGUAGAUGGAAUUUCUGGUGUAGGGGUAAAAUCCGUAGAGAUCAGAAGGAAUACCGAUUGCGAAGGCGAUCUACUAGAACAUUAUUGACGCUGAGACGCGAAAGCGUGGGGAGCAAACAGGAUUAGAUACCCUCGUAGUC